UACGGAGGGUGCGAGCGUUAUUCGGAAUUACUGGGCGUAAAGGGCGCGUAGGCGGCCGAGCUUGUCCGAUGUGAAAGCCCGGGGCUUAACCUCGGAAGUGCAUUGGAAACGGUUCGGCUUGAGUGUCGGAGAGGGUGGGGGAAUUCCCGGUGUAGAGGUGAAAUUCGUAGAGAUCGGGAGGAAUACCAGUGGCGAAGGCGCCCACCUGGACGAUGACUGACGCUGAGGCGCGAAAGCGUGGGGAGCAAACAGGAUUAGAUACCCUGGUAGU
This 271-nucleotide ribosomal RNA is filed under the name uncultured bacterium. RNAcentral describes it as "partial 16S ribosomal RNA". It matches the Rfam family "Bacterial small subunit ribosomal RNA", at positions 524 to 794 of the family's 1533-position model. The record is from RNAcentral.